GGGGGAAAAAAGGGGAUUUUGGGGUGAAAAAAGGCGAUUUUGGGCAAAAUGGGGGAAAAAUGGUGAAAAAUGGGAUUUUUGGGGGGUUUUUUGGGGGAUUUGAGGCCAAUAGGGUGGAAAUGAGGAUUUUGGGGUGAUUUUAAGUGAAAUUAAUCAAUUUUGGGUGAAAUUAAUAGAGAUUAUUAGUGAUUAAUAGUUGAUUAAUAGAGGUGGAGGAUUUUGGGGUAAAAGGGUGGAAAAAUGGGAUUUUGGGGGGAUUUUUUGGGGGGGAAAGAGAGGAUUUGAGGCCAAUAGGGUGGAAAUGAGGAUUUUGGGGUGAUUUUAAGUGAAAUUGAUCAAUUUUGGGGUGAAAUUAAUAGAGAUUAUUAGUGAUUAAUAGUUGAUUAAUUGAGGUGGAGGAUUUUUGGGGUAAAAGGGUGGAAAAAUGGGAUUUUGGGGGGAUUUUUUGGGGGGGAAAAGGGGGGAUUUGAGGCCAGUAGGGUGGAAAUGAGGAUUUUUGGGGGGUUUUGAGGGAAAUCGAUCAAUUUUGGGGUGAAAUUAAUAGAGAUUAUUAGUGAUUAAUAGUUGAUUAAUAAAGGUGGUGGAUUUGGGGGUAAAAGGGUGGAAAAAUGGGAUUUUUGGGGGAUUUUUUGGGGGGGGGAAAGGGGGGAUUUGAGGCCAAUAGGGUGGAAAUGAGGAUUUUGGGGUGAUUUUAAGUGAAAUUAAUCAAUUUUGGGUGAAAUUAAUAGCGAUUAUUAGUGAUUAAUAAUUAAUAGAUAGGAAAUUUCGUGAGAAAUGGGCAAAAUUUGGCCGUUUUGACCCGAAUUUCUCUUCUUUUUGGGGAGGUUGAAUUUCGUGAUUAUUUGUGAAGUUUGGAUCGGAUUCAUCCGAAAUUACAAAUCAUUAAUGGAAAUUAUUAGAAGCUUUUAAUUAGAAUUAUUAGAAUCUUUCUAUUCAGCUUAUUAGAGGUUUUUUAAGUGCUUUUUUUUGGUAACUUUUAGCGAAUUUUGUGUGGAUUUUAUGAUUUUUUGGUGAAUUUUAAUGGAAGUUAUUAGGAGAUAUUAGGAGUUAUUAGAAGUUAUUAGGAGUUAUUAGAAGUUAUUAGAAGUUAUUAGGAGUUAUUAGGAGUUAUUAGGAGGUGUAAAAAAUGAUUAGAAAUAAGAAAAAUAAUUGGAAUAUUUUGUGAAUAAUUAGAAAUAAUUGGAAACGCUUAAAAAAAAAAGAGAAAUAAUUAGAAAUAAUGGAAAUAAUUGGAA
Long non-coding RNA from Lagopus muta (rock ptarmigan), 1235 nucleotides. RefSeq lists it as uncharacterized. Lineage: Eukaryota; Metazoa; Chordata; Aves; Galliformes; Phasianidae. The transcript is spliced from 2 exons. The record is from RefSeq and is a predicted model, not a curated record.